UGGGGAAUAUUGCACAAUGGGCGCAAGCCUGAUGCAGCAACGCCGCGUGAGGGACGACGGCCUUCGGGUUGUAAACCUCUUUUAGUAGGGAAGAAGCGAAAAGUGACGGUACCUGCAGAAAAAGCAACCGGCUAACUACGUGCCAGCAGCCGCGGUAAUACGUAGGGUGCGAGCGUUGUCCGGAAUUAUUGGGCGUAAAGAGCUCGUAGGCGGUCUGUCGCGUCUGCUGUGAAAACCCGAGGCUCAACCUCGGGCCUGCAGUGGGUACGGGCAGACUAGAGUGCGGUAGGGGAGAAUGGAAUUCCUGGUGUAGCGGUGGAAUGCGCAGAUAUCAGGAGGAACACCGAUGGCGAAGGCAGUUCUCUGGGCCGUAACUGACGCUGAGGAGCGAAAGCGUGGGGAGCGAACAGGAUUAGAUACCCUGGUAGUCCACGCCGUAAACGUUGGGCGCUAGAUGUGGGGACCAUUCCACGGUUUCCGUGUCGCAGCUAACGCAUUAAGCGCCCCGCCUGGGGAGUACGGCCGCAAGGCUAAAACU
RNAcentral lists this ribosomal RNA (538 nucleotides) under uncultured bacterium. RNAcentral describes it as "partial 16S ribosomal RNA". It matches the Rfam family "Bacterial small subunit ribosomal RNA", at positions 355 to 901 of the family's 1533-position model. The record is from RNAcentral.